Molecule: ribosomal RNA, 351 nt
Filed under: uncultured Oscillospiraceae bacterium
Lineage: Bacteria; Bacillati; Bacillota; Clostridia; Eubacteriales; Oscillospiraceae
Description: partial 16S ribosomal RNA
Source: RNAcentral
GGAGUCUGGGCCGUGUCUCAGUCCCAAUGUGGCCGAUCAACCUCUCAGUUCGGCUACUGAUCGUAGAUUUGGUGGGCCGUUACCCCGCCAACUGUCUAAUCAGGCGCGAGCUCAUCUUACAGCGAAAUUCCUUUAACACAAAUUUCAUGCGAAAAAUGUGCAUCAUAGGGUAUUAUCGACCAUUUCUAAUCGCUAUCCCCCUCUGUAAGGCAGAUUGCUCACGUGUUACUCACCCGUCCGCCACUAAGUUUUUGUUAAUCCUUCCGAAAAAUUCAUAACUAAACUUCGUUCGACUUGCAUGUGUUAGGCGCGCCGCCAGCGUUCGUCCUCGAGCCACGGAGUCAAACUACU